This 546-nucleotide ribosomal RNA is filed under the name uncultured bacterium. Its description in RNAcentral is "bacterial SSU rRNA". It matches the Rfam family "Bacterial small subunit ribosomal RNA", at positions 777 to 1319 of the family's 1533-position model. The record is from RNAcentral.
AAUAGAUACCCCUGGUAGUCCACCCCGUAAACGUUGGGAACUAGUUGUGGGGUCCUUUCCACGGAUUCCGUGACGCAGCUAACGCAUUAAGUUCCCCGCCUGGGGAGUACGGCCGCAAGGCUAAAACUCAAAGGAAUUGACGGGGACCCGCACAAGCGGCGGAGCAUGCGGAUUAAUUCGAUGCAACGCGAAGAACCUUACCAAGGCUUGACAUACACGAGAACACCCCCAGAAAUGGGGGACUCUUUGGACACUCGUGAACAGGUGGUGCAUGGUUGUCGUCAGCUCGUGUCGUGAGAUGUUGGGUUAAGUCCCGCAACGAGCGCAACCCUCGUUCUAUGUUGCCAGCACGUAAUGGUGGGAACUCAUGGGAUACUGCCGGGGUCAACUCGGAGGAAGGUGGGGAUGACGUCAAAUCAUCAUGCCCCUUAUGUCUUGGGCUUCACGCAUGCUACAAUGGCCGGUACAAAGGGCUGCAAUACCGUGAGGUGGAGCGAAUCCCAAAAAGCCGGUCCCAGUUCGGAUUGAGGUCUGCAACUCGACCUC